This 220-nucleotide long non-coding RNA is filed under the name Homo sapiens (human). RNAcentral describes it as "non-protein coding lnc-NACC1-1:1". Lineage: Eukaryota; Metazoa; Chordata; Mammalia; Primates; Hominidae. The record is from RNAcentral.
GACACGUCCCUAGUCCCAUUUCACAGAUGAGGAAGUUGUGGCUCAGAAAAGGGGCGGAAACUAAAGUUCGGAAAGGUAGAGCGACUUGCCCAAGGUCGCGGGACUAGAAGGUGGCGGGGCCAGGAUUCGAACCAUCGAGCUGAGCCGACGUACUGGCGAGGAUCCCCCAGGGGCAUAGAGAGGAGACGGAGCCGGUUAGAAGGGGCGCGCUCGGAGCUCG